Trifolium pratense (red clover) is the source of this 1393-nucleotide long non-coding RNA. RefSeq lists it as uncharacterized. NCBI's taxonomy places the organism in Eukaryota, Viridiplantae, Streptophyta, Magnoliopsida, Fabales, Fabaceae. The record is from RefSeq and is a predicted model, not a curated record. The transcript has 5 exons.
UUUACAUAUCUGAUAAUGCUAUAUUAGGCUUUCAUUAUCAUUUAUUAAUACUCUGCAACUCAUAAUAAUAAGUGUAUUACUGUUGUAAUGCAGCCACAACAAUUAUCACAAUAGAUGAUAAGUAUUGCUUUGUCCUGGUUUGUUGUUGUUAGUUUUGGGAGAUUGUUUCGUUUUAGUUUGUUUGAAAAGAUCGAAGCAUGCCGUUUGUGUUUUCCUUGCUAUAGGGUGUUAUUCAAGAACUGGUUGUUUAGUUCCAAUUCUUCCUUUAUAUACCAGUUCAAAUCAGUUUGGUUUUGCGAGAGGUCAAGGUGAUGGGCUCUCAAAAUAUGUCAAGUUUGAAAGAAAUUGCAGCCCUUGUAUACAAGUUCAAAUCAGUUUCAAUAGCUAUUAAUAUGACACAAUCUAUGGAAGUUGUCUGUGAGAUGGUGUGAUUCUUUAGCAGCUCCCCCCAUUAUUUUUGUUUGUAGGUCUGCCAAUGCCACCAUGAUAUCUCUCACUUAUAUUUAGAUUAUAAUAUGUUUCUUCUGACAGCCAAAGCAACUUGGAUAAGUUCAAGUCUGAGGAUUGUAAUAUUCUCCCUUGUACUGACAUAGCUAGAAGGGGACUGGAUAUGAAGUGUUCACUUUGUGUUUAACUUAUUAUUCAAUUGUUUACUAAUCUAUAAUCCUCUUACUGAUAAUGUGCAUAGAAGGCGGCAAUGACAGAUGUCAACUGUUGUGACAUAUGCAUUGCUGCCAUUAUCUUAGUUCCAAUAUCAAUUAUUAGAAGUUAUUUAGUUUGUUUAUCAUGUCACAUGACAGGUAUUUCCUGUUACUCAAAAGAAAUUUUGUGGAUUCAAUCCUUUUACAACGUUUGUGUGCUAUAAAAUUAUUUUAUAAUCUGAGGUUCUACACAAACUUAUAAGCUAUGAGGUUUGGCACAUCUCUCGCUCUCAAACAUAGGAAAUUCACACAAAGGUUCAAGUUAUUGACAUCUAUCUAGUCUCUUUUUAAUCCACACAAAGGCCGUACAAAAUGCUGCUUAUAAGCUGAUUGGCAUGUUGUCUAUAUAGUGUGCAAUAUGUCACAAUCUACGGAAGUUGUUCAUGAGUGUUGGAAAAGUGAACUUCACAUGUCUAUAUAACUGGUUUAUAUAGAAUUAGAAGAGUCUGCAACUCUGCAUCAAUAUACUUUGUUGGAACUGAAGUUUUACAUUGAGAAAAGUAUUAUUGACUAGACAUUCACAUAUUCAUUAUUGUGUUGGUUCUCAGUGUGUGUUAGAAUUGUAAUUAGUUUGUAGUUAGUUUAGUUACUUAUUUCUUCAUGAGUGAUAUUAUACCCCUUAAAUUAGUUUGUAAAUUUGUUCUUAUGUAAUUUAAAUUGGGCAAAAUAAAUUACUCUCAUUUGGAUAUUUG